CCUACGGGGUGCAGCAGUGGGGAAUAUUGGACAAUGGGCGAAAGCCUGAUCCAGCCAUGCCGCGUGUGUGAAGAAGGCCUUCGGGUUGUAAAGCACUUUCAGUGGGGAAGAAAGCCUUGGGGCUAAUACCCUCGAGGAAGGACAUCACCCACAGAAGAAGCACCGGCUAACUCCGUGCCAGCAGCCGCGGUAAUACGGAGGGUGCGAGCGUUAAUCGGAAUUACUGGGCGUAAAGCGCGCGUAGGCGGUCUGAUAAGCCGGUUGUGAAAGCCCCGGGCUCAACCUGGGAACGGCAUCCGGAACUGUCAGGCUAGAGUGCAGGAGAGGAAGGUAGAAUUCCCGGUGUAGCGGGGAAAUGCGUAGAGAUCGGGAGGAAUACCAGUGGCGAAGGCGGCCUUCUGGACUGACACUGACGCUGAGGUGCGAAAGCGUGGGUAGCAAACAGGAUUAGAUACCCUAGUAGUC
Molecule: ribosomal RNA, 465 nt
Filed under: Vreelandella stevensii
Lineage: Bacteria; Pseudomonadati; Pseudomonadota; Gammaproteobacteria; Oceanospirillales; Halomonadaceae
Description: partial 16S ribosomal RNA
Rfam family: Bacterial small subunit ribosomal RNA
Source: RNAcentral